RNAcentral lists this ribosomal RNA (118 nucleotides) under Pteropus alecto (black flying fox). The record is from RNAcentral. Lineage: Eukaryota; Metazoa; Chordata; Mammalia; Chiroptera; Pteropodidae.
AAUUAUGGCUAUGCCACCUAAACAAGCCUGAUCCUGUCUGAUCUCGGAAUCUAAGCAGGGUUGGGCCUGAUUAGUACUUGGAUGGGAGACCACCUAGGAAGACCAGGUGCUGCAGGCG